GACGAACGCUGGCGGCGUGCUUAACACAUGCAAGUCGAACGGAAAGGCCCUGCUUUUGUGGGGUGCUCGAGUGGCGAACGGGUGAGUAACACGUGAGUAACCUGCCCUUGACUUUGGGAUAACUUCAGGAAACUGGGGCUAAUACCGGAUAGGAGCUCCUGCUGCAUGGUGGGGGUUGGAAAGUUUCGGCGGUUGGGGAUGGACUCGCGGCUUAUCAGCUUGUUGGUGGGGUAGUGGCUUACCAAGGCUUUGACGGGUAGCCGGCCUGAGAGGGUGACCGGCCACAUUGGGACUGAGAUACGGCCCAGACUCCUACGGGAGGCAGCAGUGGGGAAUAUUGCACAAUGGGCGGAAGCCUGAUGCAGCGACGCCGCGUGCGGGAUGACGGCCUUCGGGUUGUAAACCGCUUUCGCCUGUGACGAAGCGUGAGUGACGGUAAUGGGUAAAGAAGCACCGGCUAACUACGUG
This 468-nucleotide ribosomal RNA is filed under the name uncultured bacterium. RNAcentral describes it as "partial 16S ribosomal RNA". It matches the Rfam family "Bacterial small subunit ribosomal RNA", at positions 28 to 507 of the family's 1533-position model. The record is from RNAcentral.